Molecule: ribosomal RNA, 497 nt
Filed under: uncultured bacterium
Lineage: Bacteria
Description: partial 16S ribosomal RNA
Rfam family: Bacterial small subunit ribosomal RNA
Source: RNAcentral
GAUGAACGCUGGCGGCGUGCCUAAUACAUGCAAGUCGAGCGAACAGACGAGGAGCUUGCUCCUCUGACGUUAGCGGCGGACGGGUGAGUAACACGUGGAUAACCUACCUAUAAGACUGGGAUAACUUCGGGAAACCGGAGCUAAUACCGGAUAAUAUAUUGAACCGCAUGGUUCAAUAGUGAAAGACGGUUUUGCUGUCACUUAUAGAUGGAUCCGCGCCGCAUUAGCUAGUUGGUAAGGUAACAGCUUACCAAGGCAACGAUGCGUAGCCGACCUGAGAGGGUGAUCGGCCACACUGGAACUGAGACACGGUCCAGACUCCUACGGGAGGCAGCAGUAGGGAAUCUUCCGCAAUGGGCGAAAGCUUGACGGAGCAACGCCGCGUGAGUGAUGAAGGUCUUCGGAUCGUAAAACUCUGUUAUUAGGGAAGAACAAAUGUGUAAGUAACUAUGCACGCCUUGACGGUACCUAAUCAGAAAGCCACGGCUAACUACGUG